RNAcentral lists this transfer RNA (77 nucleotides) under Opitutia bacterium. RNAcentral's name for it is "Opitutae bacterium tRNA-Val". It matches the Rfam family "tRNA". Rfam says of the family: Transfer RNA (tRNA) molecules are approximately 80 nucleotides in length. Lineage: Bacteria; Pseudomonadati; Verrucomicrobiota; Opitutia. The record is from RNAcentral. RNAcentral also lists the same sequence under 3 other names.
GGUUGCGUAGCUCAGUUGGUUAGAGCGCUACAUUCACAUUGUAGAUGUCACAGGUUCGAGUCCUGUCGCGACCACCA